UACGUAGGGUGCAAGCGUUAAUCGGAAUUACUGGGCGUAAAGCGUGCGCAGGCGGUUCUAUAAGACAGGUGUGAAAUCCCCGGGCUCAACCUGGGAACUGCAUUUGUGACUGUAGAGCUGGAGUGCGGCAGAGGGGGAUGGAAUUCCGCGUGUAGCAGUGAAAUGCGUAGAUAUGCGGAGGAACACCGAUGGCGAAGGCAAUCCCCUGGGCCUGCACUGACGCUCAUGCACGAAAGCGUGGGGAGCAAACAGG
Molecule: ribosomal RNA, 253 nt
Filed under: uncultured bacterium
Lineage: Bacteria
Description: partial 16S ribosomal RNA
Rfam family: Bacterial small subunit ribosomal RNA
Source: RNAcentral